UUUUUAAUGCCCACUAUCUUUCUUUUUUAGGAUUCUUACCCUUUUCUAAAAAAUGAUUGUGGGCAUGCAAAA
Molecule: non-coding RNA, 72 nt
Filed under: unclassified sequences
Description: potC RNA
Rfam family: potC RNA
Source: RNAcentral